RNAcentral lists this transfer RNA (76 nucleotides) under Streptomyces sp. SID8499. RNAcentral's name for it is "tRNA-Asn". It matches the Rfam family "tRNA". From Rfam's summary of the family: Transfer RNA (tRNA) molecules are approximately 80 nucleotides in length. Their secondary structure includes four short double-helical elements and three loops (D, anti-codon, and T loops). Lineage: Bacteria; Bacillati; Actinomycetota; Actinomycetes; Kitasatosporales; Streptomycetaceae. The record is from RNAcentral.
UGGCCUAUAGCUCAACGGGCAGAGCGCCGGAUUGUUAAUCCGUAGGUUCCUGGUUCGAAUCCAGGUGGGCCAGCCA